GAUGAACGCUGGCGGCGUGCCUAAUACAUGCAAGUCGAGCGAACAGACGAGGAGCUUGCUCCUCUGACGUUAGCGGCGGACGGGUGAGUAACACGUGGAUAACCUACCUAUAAGACUGGGAUAACUUCGGGAAACCGGAGCUAAUACCGGAUAAUAUAUUGAACCGCAUGGUUCAAUAGUGAAAGACGGUUUUGCUGUCACUUAUAGAUGGAUCCGCGCCGCAUUAGCUAGUUGGUAAGGUAACGGCUUACCAAGGCAACGAUGCGUAGCCGACCGGAGAGGGUGAUCGGCCACACUGGAACUGAGGCACGGUCCAGACUCCUACGGGAGGCAGCAGUAGGGAAUCUUCCGCAAUGGGCGAAAGCCUGACGGAGCAACGCCGCGUGAGUGAUGAAGUUCUUCGGAUCGUAAAACUCUGUUAUUAGGGAAGAACAAAUGUGUAAGUAACUAUGCACGUCUUGACGGUACCUAAUCAGAAAGCCACGGCUAACUACGUG
RNAcentral lists this ribosomal RNA (497 nucleotides) under uncultured bacterium. Its description in RNAcentral is "partial 16S ribosomal RNA". It matches the Rfam family "Bacterial small subunit ribosomal RNA", at positions 28 to 507 of the family's 1533-position model. The record is from RNAcentral.